RNAcentral lists this ribosomal RNA (162 nucleotides) under uncultured bacterium. RNAcentral's name for it is "partial 16S ribosomal RNA". It matches the Rfam family "Bacterial small subunit ribosomal RNA", at positions 371 to 527 of the family's 1533-position model. The record is from RNAcentral.
GUGGGCGAAGCCUGAAGCAGCCAUGCCGCGUGUGUGAAGAAGGUCUUCGGAUUGUAAAGCACUUUCAGUUGGGAGGAAGGGCAGUUACCUAAUACGUGAUUGUUUUGACGUUACCGACAGAAUAAGCACCGGCUAACUCUGUGCCAGCAGCCGCGGUAAACA